CUCUCCCCCACCCCCCCGGCUUCCUAGGUUUUGCUCACAGCAAAGGACAGGGAGGAAAGGGAGAGAGUCAGGGACUUGGUCCUUCCUCUUCUUACCCAUGGGUGUCUCUACAUCACUGCAAACAAUUGCAGCUCAACCUCCAGCAGGCAUCUGGUGCUUGGAAACCAAGUGGAAGCAAUGGUCUGAUGACAGCCACUGUGGGGAAAGUCCACCUGAGCCCAGAAGGGGGCGCUGCUGAUUCGGCUGGUGAAGAGCACCUUGUGGGCAGACAGCAGGUUCAGAACACACAGCGGGACAGACAUAGGCCCUAUGCAGCAUCCAGGCCACUUCAGGCACAUGAAACCAGUUUUGAGAACUGCAGUCUGUCAGUCCUGGAACCCAAUCUGUAGACCAGGCUGGGCGGAUGGAGCUGCAGUCAGUCAGCUCCAUUAUUCUGUGGUCCCCGAUGAGUCUGAUGAUGACGGGAGCAUGUGACAGAGCGGAGCUGAGGUAAUGUAAAAUGUAAAAACAAAUAAGCCUAGAGAAAGACAUUGCUGAGGCCCCACAGUCCCCUUCAGGGCCGCCCCUCCUGUGACCUGAGGAUUUCCCCCCAGGCUCCACCUCUAAAAGGCUCCACCGCUUUUCAAGCUGGGGGCCAGCCUCUGGGGAGCAGGCAGCGUUCAAGUGAUAUCGAUGAAGGAGAAACUUAUAGUAAAACUGAUGCCAUAAAGAAUUUACUAAUGGAUGGGGGCUGGAGAGAUGGCUCAGUGGUUAAGAACACUGACUGUUCUUCCAGAGGUCCUAAGUUCAAUUCCCAGCAACCACAUGAUGGUGGUUCACAACCAUCUAUAAUGAGGUCUGGUGCCCUCUUCUGGCCUGCAGACAUAUAUGCAGACAGAACACUGUACACAUAAUAAAUAAAUAUUUUUUUAAAAAAAAUUUACUAAUGGCACUGGGCAAUGAUAGCACACACCUUUAAUCCCAGCACUCAGGAGGCAGAGGCAGGUGGGUCUCUGGGAGUUCCAGGCCAGCCCAGCCUGGUCUACAGAUUGGGUUCCAGGAUAGCCAGGGUUACACCCUAUCUUGAAAAACCAAAAAAGAAAAGGGGGGGGGAGAAGGAAGAAAAAUAAUUCACCAAUGAACUUACUCGGGAGAUACUAAGUUACACAAGCAGAAUUUAGCUAAAGGAGAAUGGCCUCCAAGAUGACUAGAAGGCAGUGAGCUAACCAGGUUGGCUAGAAACCCCAAGAAAGAAAAUUCUGAACCAUAACUGAGGUUCAGGGUUGCUGAGAAAGUUUCUGCUGGUGUUUAUUCAUCAAGAUUGACCUGCAGUGAAGCCCCAUUCCCAUAAUGAAAGGAGACAUCCCUGACUUACAGCCAGCCAGCCGGGCCAUCCUCGUAUCAGAGAACAUGCCUCUAAUGAGCAACACCAGGGGGCAGGGCAGGGUCACAGCCAUCUGUAAGCCCUGGUCUGUCCUGAAGUCCCCUGUGUCCUCUCAGGAAAAGCAUCAUCCUGCCCGGUGGGCAAAAUGAAGUGGGGUAGAAACUGUUGAAAAAGAACAGCACUGGUGUACUUAACAGAUUCUGACAACACCUUUGCCGUGCCAAUCUCCCGUCCGCCUGCGUGGCCAGACUUGCAAUCUCCUGUCCCUGUUUAAAUUGUUCAACGUGUAACCUGGGGUCGUGGCCUUAAAGAUGACUGUGUAUGUGGACUGCCGGAACCUCAGGUGUAGAUAAAACCUUUUUUGAGGCCACCUUCUCUUUGGGUGUUAGCCAGAGUCAGACAUGCGCUAUUUUGUAAAAGAGCCUUUUCCUCUCUUAAUCUCUAAGUGUGUAGGGUGAUUUCUCACUGGGAAGGCGUGGCCCAAGAACAACAGCGCCCACUUACUAUGUUUAAACAGUUUUGUUGUGGUGACACACAUAUGCCCAGUUCACCUGUGGUAGCUGCCCUGCAGGACGGCUGUGACAGGCCAGUGACAAGGACAAUGGAGGAGCUCCCAAGGCAGAGGCAGAAGUAGGAGUUAAUUACAUGCAUCAUGAUGCAGCUGCCGCAGGCGAGGCAGUAGCCGGAGGCUGCUUGGAGGAAUGCUAAGGACUUGCUCUCAUCUGAGCCCGUGGACAGUCAGGUGAUGCUUCAGUGCAGUUAGCAUUUAGCACGUUGACAGCAUCACAUAACCAUGACAUUCUCACCAAAGAAAACCACACCCAUCGGCAGUGGCUGCUCAUGCCCCCUCUCCUCACACCCCCCUCCCCAAAACCACAGACUUGCUUUCCAUGUCUGUGGAUCCUUCUCUUCAGGACUUGUCAUAGAACUGGAAUCUCAUGGGUGGCCUUUGUCCGACUUGUUUAGUUGAACACAAGGUCUUCAAGGUUCACCUAGGUUGACAUGUGUCAAACCCCAUUCCUUUUUAAGGGUUGUAUAAUGUUCUCCAGGGUGAAUCUACAGUUAUGGGGUACCUGAAGAGAGAAACUCCUGAGAUGCCUAACUAAGUCAUAUGGAGUCCUUGUUCACCGCUGAAGGGGCUGUCCCAGUCAGAAGAGCAGGAAGCAGCCUCAACCCCCCAUUUGUUUAAGUUUUUAAAGGCAAUAAUGAUGUGGUGGUUUGAAAGAAAAUGGUCCCCAAAGGGAGUGGCACUAUUAGGAGGUGUGGCCUUGCUGGAGUAGGUGUGGUCACUGUGGAGGCUGGCUUUGAGGUCUCAUAUAUGCUUAAGCCACGCCCAGUGAGUCAGUCUGCUUCCUGUGCCUUUUGAUCAAGAUGUAGCCAGCACCUUGUCUGCCUGCAUGCUGCCAUGUCCCACCAUGAUGAUAAUGGACUAAACCUCUGAAACUGUAAGCAAGCCACCUCAAUUAAAUAUUUUCCUUUAAAAGAG
This is a long non-coding RNA of Peromyscus californicus insignis, 2849 nucleotides long. RefSeq lists it as uncharacterized. The transcript has 2 exons. The record is from RefSeq and is a predicted model, not a curated record. NCBI's taxonomy places the organism in Eukaryota, Metazoa, Chordata, Mammalia, Rodentia, Cricetidae.